CUGAGGAUAUGAUCAAUGGUUUCAUCAGUUUCCUUGCACAGUCUGACUACAAACAGAGGCACAACUAUGUGGCCCAAAUGAUCCAUUGGAACUUAUGCCUCAAGUACCACCUGCCAGCAGCAAAGAACUGGUGGGAUCACAAACCUGCAAAAGUAUUGGAAAAUGAGCACGCAAAGAUACUGUGGGACUUCCGAAUCCAGACUGACAAAGUUCUGGAACACAACACACCAGACAUCACAGUUGUGGAAAAGAACAAGGUUUGGAUCAUUGAUGUUGCCAUCCCAGGUGACAGUCGCAUUGAUGAAAAACAACAGGAAAAACUCAGCCGCUAUCAGGACCUCAAGAUUGAACUUCAAAGACUCUGGCAGAAACCAGUACAGGUGGUCCCGGUGGUGAUGGGCACACUGGGUGCUGUGCCAAAAGAUCUCAGCCGGCAUUUGGAAACAAUAGACAUUGACAAAAUCACCAUCUGCCAACUGCAAAAGGCCACCCUACUGGGAUCUGCACACAUCAUCAGAAAAUACAUCACACAGUCCUAGACACUUGGGAAGUGUUCGACUUGUGGUUUUGCGAAACGAAAUCCAGCAUAUCUAUCUUGUUUGCUGUGCCAUACAAUGUUGUUGUGUUGAUAAUAAUAAUAAUAAUAAUCCUUUAUUUAUAUACCCUUCCAUCUCCUCAAGAGGAUGAUUUUCAGCAUGUACAAAACCGUCCUCAAUCACACAUGCUUCAUCACAAAAGCAUGUGUGAUAAAGAAUCUCCACUGCCGUUAGAGGGGAAAUGAAUUUUCAAAGCACCAAUGUGUUGUAAUGUGCCAUGCCUCUUGUACUCCAAUAUAUUCUGAGUGUCUUGGUUUUGAGUGGGCAAGAGUCAUUAGGGGUAUCAGUAUACUGUAGUACUGUAGAUAAAUCACUGCUGCACUGUGACUGGCAAUCAUAAGGAAUGGAAAUGAACAAGAGUUGGCUAAAUGGCAACAUAAUCCCAUUUUUUCUAACAUGAGAGGUAACCAUAAUAAAGAAGAGAAAUUAACAAGACUUGGUUAAAUGAACUCAAUCAAAACUCACCUAUGCCAAAGUGAUUAUCUUUGAGACAAAAGACAGUAUUUAAUUCCACGAUAAAUGUGCCUUGGAUUAGAAACAAAGGACUUCGUGUGGAAAGAAAACAGAAAGUUUCUACAUGUCAAAUUACAUAUCUAAAGCAUAAGAUACUGUCAGAUUUUCCAAUGCUGGCUAAAUGGAAGUUUGUGUUCGCUGGAAAAUUCCUAGUGCUUGUGUUUGUUUGCUUGCUUUUUACUCAUGUGUGUAUAUUUGUUUAUCUGUUUUGCUUUGCUUCCAUCAGGAGCACAAAGACUGGAGAAGAUGACAGCAGGAAGAUAGGCUGUCAAAUAUGUACCAAUAUGUCAUGGGGAUAUGGAAUAUUUUGUGGUGUAGAAAAUAGCUUAAUGUUUAUAUGUCAGUGUGCACAAAGCCUGAGUGGCUGUGGACUCCUCUAGACCGAACAGGGCAAUGUACUUUGGCAAACACUACUAGCAACCAGAAUCUCUUGGCUCCAAAUCAGCCCUUGAAAAUAAUGCACAGCCAAGCAGCUCCAGAGUGAGAAAUGUCUAACUACAUCAGUCUCCGUCCUCACAGUGAUUAAUGUGACUGUCAAGCUUUUGCCCUAACUGGUACUUUGGCCCAGUUAGAAUGCCAACUGUUACUAGAUCCAAUUCAGCUCAAGUUUUAUAGAAAAAGUAUUGGGAACCAAUACUUCUGUGACUCUCUUUCAGCUAAGAUAGUUUGCAGCAUAGUGAAAUGAACAAGUCUCUGAAGUUCUUAAAGAGAACUUUCAUUGGAACUUUUCUGGCAAUUGUAGACAGUAGUUCAAGUUGGUAUAACAGUGAUGGCUCAUGGACCAAGCAAGGGGAGGCACUGAAAACCCUCCUGAAUUUCCAAUUUGUUUCUGGAAACAGGAUGGGGGCAUCCAAAAAUGGAACUGAAAACAGUAUGGAUUUCUGCUGAUUCACAAAAUAGAAAUGGGAAACUUUGGCCUUGUCAAGACAACUCCAGAGGUAAAUAUGUGAAAUUUGGGUUCCCUUCCAACAGCUUGUCCACUCUGCCAGAGCAAUGGUAAAGGUUUCUAGGUAAGGGUUUCCCCUGACACUUAGUCUAGUUGUGUCCGACUCUGGGGGUUGGUGCUCAUCUCCAUUUCUAAGCCGAGGAGCCGGCGUUGUCCAUAGACACCUCCAAGGUCAUGUGGCUGGCAUGACUGCAUGGAGGGCCGUUACCAUCCCACCGGAGUGGUACCUAUUGAUCUACUCACAUUGGCAUGUUUUUGAACUGCUAGGUUGGCAGAAGCUGGGGCUAACAGUGGGAGCUCACCCCACUCCCCGGAUUCAAACCACCAACCUUUUGAUCAGCAAGUGCAGCAGCUCAACGGUUUAAUCCACUGUGCCAUCAGGGGAUCCUAAUGGUAACUCUCGAUACCCCCAAAUACAACCAGCCCAAAAACAUUUUGCUAGUUUCUCUGUCUUUUUUAUUUACAUCAUAAAUCUGUUCAGAUCUACCCUUUCUUUCUCUAAGAGAUUUAUGAUGUAAAGAAAAGAGAUAGGAAAACUAUUAUAGAGAGAAUGGAAGAUUACAUGGUUCUGCCCUAUCCUGUGGGAAAAAAAAUUGUGAUUACAUUAUGAAAACUCCAUCUGGAAAACCAUAAAAGAUUUAAGAAAGAAUAUUUUAAGAAUAAAUAAGGUAAUGUUGGUACAAUAUACAUUUGAAAUGUGAUGUUAUGCUGGUGAUACUUCAUAUAGUAUCCAGUAAUUUCCAUGAGCUUGUGCUGCUGUAUCAUAAGGAAAGAAACUAAUUUUGUAGGUAGGAUUAUGAAAUUGAGAAACAGAACACUCCAUCUCUCUUGGCUCAUUGGCCUACACUCUACAUUUGUCAUUCAUUCACUGUUGUGCCCUCAUCUUCAGGGAGAUUAUUACCCUUUAAACAUGAUUGGUUUUGGCAUGAAAGAAUCACAGUUCUUCCCCUGUCCUUGCAGCUGCUGAAGAGCAAACCCAAUUGUUAAAGUAUCUCCUUUGCUUCCAAAUUCCAAGAACAUCCUUUCAUUCUCUGGGAGACCUUUGGCAUAAGGAAAUGCUCAGACAACUUCAAUUAGCUGUUAGGUUUGACAGUAAGUGAGAGGUGAGAAAAGAAAGCCAUGUAAUGCUACUAAGACAUGUCAACAUCUGCCAGUGCAGUCUUUCUACAGCCUGCAAAUAUGAUCUCAAACAUUUACACCGAAAGGUUAGUUUUCCUCUUUCAGUUUCAAAUUCACCCUGUUUCAACAAAGGUCUAAAGAACAUGAGCAACAAAAAUAAAAACUAAGCAAGGAAAGUUUAUAUAUCUGUGGAAGGUCCAGGGUGGGAGAAAGAACUCUUGUCUGUUGGUGCUCAGCGUGAGUGUUGUAACUAAUUACUUUGAUUAGCAUUAAUUGCUUUGCAAGCUUCAUUCCUGCCUGGGGGAAUCCUUUGUUCAGAGAUGUUAGCUGCCCCUGAUUGAUUCAUGUCUGUAAUUCCUCUGUUUUCAGAGUGUUGUUCUUUUAUUUAAUCUUCUGAUUUUAGAGGUUUUUUAAAUACUGGUAGCCAGAUUUUGUUCAUUUUCAUUGUUUCCUCCUUUCUGAGAAACUAGAAAAGUCAGUCAUAGCAGAGCACUUGAUCAACCAACCUGGACACAGCGUAUUGUUUGAGAACACUGAAAUGCUGGGCCACUCUAGCAACUAUCAUGUCAGACUACACAGAGAAGCCAUUAAAAUCCACAAACAUGUGGACAAUUUCAACAGAAAGGAAAGCUAGCACCUCCGAACAAAGUAAUCCCCCAGGCAGGAAUGAAGCUUAAAGGUAAAGGUAAAGGUUUCCCCUGACGUUAAGUCCAGUCAUGUCUGACUCUGGGGGUUGGUGCUCAUCUCCAUUUCUAAGCCGAAGAGCCAGCGUUGUCCGUAGACACCUCCAAGGUCAUGUGGCCAGCAUGACUGCAUGGAGUGCCGUUACCUUCCCACCGGAGCGGUACCUAUUGAUCUACUCACAUUUGCAUGUUUUCGAACUGCUAGGUUGGCAGGAGUUGGAGCUAACAGC
RNAcentral lists this long non-coding RNA (4087 nucleotides) under Anolis carolinensis (green anole). Its description in RNAcentral is "lncRNA (ENSACAG00000044721.1)". The record is from RNAcentral. Lineage: Eukaryota; Metazoa; Chordata; Lepidosauria; Squamata; Anolidae.